Molecule: long non-coding RNA, 260 nt
Organism: Carassius auratus (goldfish)
Lineage: Eukaryota; Metazoa; Chordata; Actinopteri; Cypriniformes; Cyprinidae
Exons: 3
Source: RefSeq, a predicted model, not a curated record
CUUCACUGAAUCUCUUAGUUUAUUCUCAGACAGAUUCAGUUCUCUCAGGUGUGAGGGGUUUGAUCUCAGAGCUGAAGUCAGAGCAGCACAACCUUCAUCUGUGACACCACAAUAACUCAACCUCAGUGUCUCCAGUUUACAGCGAGGAUCCUGUAGUACAUCAGAAAGCAGCUUCACUGAAUCUCUUAGUUUAUUCUCAGACAGAUCCAGUUGUCUCAGGUGUGAGGGGUUUGAUCUCAGAGCUGAAGUCAGAGCAGAAC